RNAcentral lists this ribosomal RNA (460 nucleotides) under uncultured bacterium. Its description in RNAcentral is "partial 16S ribosomal RNA". It matches the Rfam family "Bacterial small subunit ribosomal RNA", at positions 338 to 795 of the family's 1533-position model. The record is from RNAcentral.
CCUACGGGAGGCUGCAGUGAGGAAUAUUGGUCAAUGGGCGCGAGACUGAACCAGCCAAGUCGCGUGAAGGAUGACUGCCCUACGGGUUGUAAACUUCUUUUAUCAAGGAAUAAAGUCAGGCACGUGUGCCUUUUUGUAUGUACUUUAUGAAUAAGGAUCGGCUAACUCCGUGCCAGCAGCCGCGGUAAUACGGAGGAUCCGAGCGUUAUCCGGAUUUAUUGGGUUUAAAGGGAGCGUAGAUGGGUUGUUAAGUCAGUUGUGAAAGUUUGCGGCUCAACCGUAAAAUUGCAAUUGAUACUGGCAGUCUUGAGUACAGUUGAGGUAGGCGGAAUUCGUGGUGUAGCGGUGAAAUGCUUAGAUAUCACGAAGAACUCCGAUUGCGAAGGCAGCUUACUAACCUGCCACUGACAUUGAUGCUCGAAAGUGUGGGUAUCAAACAGGAUUAGAUACCCUUGUAGUC